UGGCUUCUGGAGUCUUCUAGAUGGUAGAAAAUUGCACGGUGGGUUGAUAUCUCUAUGUAAUCCCGACAUGUGGGCCUUUCUUCCUUAUUUCCUGAUAACCCCCUGCAGAAAUAGACAAACACCAAAACUCGUGGAAUUCUGUCAGAUAAAACCCUAAGUCUAGAUGUUGAUUUCAUUUGGAUCUUUUUCUUUGUUUAUUUGAUAAUUAAAUUUGAUACUUAAGGACCGUCAACAAACUCCCCCAAGCUUACCUCUUGCUCGUCCCUGAGCAAGGAUAGACUCAGCUAUGGAUCAUAAGUAGUUGCAAUAUCUUUAAAAAUUUGACGGUACACAUGCUUUUAAAUAAGAUCUCAUCUCUGGGUUAGAGUAAACUGUUAAGACUUAAAACUUACUUACUUUACCUACACCAUUGGACUUGUAACCGUCACUUCUGUCUUGAGUGGUUAAAAGAUAGAACAGUCUAGCCAAGUGCCAUGUCUCUUAUUCUUGAUCAGCUAUAGCUCUGGGGUUUUUGCAGAUUUUCAAAUAAAACUCAGAAAUUCCUUGUAUGAUUCUCUCAGGUCUCUCUUUUGUGGUAUUUUUGGAUCCUUCCCAAGGCAGUGAUGGUAUAUGCCUUCUCUCAAGAAAUGUAGUAUUUGUGGUAUGAAGCAUAGUGACAUUGUCUUCUCUCUCACCCUACUCUAAUAAGGCUUUAAUAUCUGGAGCUCAUAGGUGGGAGAUAAAGUAUGCAUACUUACAAGACAUUUAUUGCAUAGUCAAACCAUGGAUCCAAAGAAACAAAUCAAUAAGCCAAAUCGAGAUGUGCAUGUGUGGCGAAUGAAUGGUGUAUGGUGAUGAUGGUGAUAACAAUGGUGGUGGAAGUCUAAUUCUACUUUGCUCUUUGAGGGGAUACAUACCUUCCUUGCUUUUGAAACUUUAUGAGGAGAAUGAGAUGCUCUUCUUUUUUUCUCUCAGGUGGGUAUCUUGCACCCCUAAUUCUACUGUCGGACACUUGUCCAUUUUUACCUCUCGUCUUACUUUUUCUUUUCUUUCGAGGUUCCGAGCACUUGCUCCUUUUUAUUUCCUCGUAUCUUUUAUUUUCUUUUUUUUCUUCUUUUUUUUUCUCUUUUUUUUUCUAGAGCACUCAUCUCCUGAAAUAAUGUAGCAAGUGGUAGUAACAAGAUAACUUGAGCAUUUAUUUCACAAGGGGAAACAGAAAUAUUUUUGGUUAUUCUCUCCCGGAUUAGGAGUAGAAUACUUUUGGGUGGUUUUGGAGAUGGAAAUGAGUGGAUAUAUGUGGAUGGUACUUCCGGAGUAGAAGUAGCAUGUAUGAGUGAACGUGCAAGUGAAUCUUGAUUUAACCAGAUGACAAGCUCCUAACGGUCUACACAGCUUGACCACACUCAAUGCUCAUAAGCAGUAAAUAGUAAAUGUGUGGCUCAAGGUCUAGCAAGCAUGUAUAUGUGGCUGUGGUAGGAAUUUAAACUCUCAUCAUACAGGAACUCAUCAUGCAACAUUUUAAAGAUUUUCAAAGAUAAAAUUCUCCAGAAUUCUAGCAUCUCUAAGAACAGAUAAACAGCAGCUCAACCUUCCCAUAUCGUAUCCGUUAACAACUUAGACUUCAGCUCAAGUUUUCAUCCCACAAGUUUAGGUCUAGAGCAAGCCUUAAAUUAUAACAGUUAUAUCUAAACUUGAGAGAGAACUUCAAAUUUGCAAAUUAGGCAGAGCAACUAUUCAUCAUAUCCAUGCUUAAGUUUUAUUAGAUACAGAUUAGCAUAGCCACUUUAUUUAUUUAUUAAACAUACUAAGCAAAAUAUAUAUAAGCAUAAAAUCUUUAUUUGGUUUUUCAUAGUUAUGUGUAUUUAUAUUCUAAUAUAGUAUAAGUAUAAAGAUAGAUAGAAAUACUUAUCGAGAAAAAUGGGGGUGCUCUCCCCCAAGCUGAAUUUUGACGUAAUUUCUCUUGAUGUAGCUAGCAGGUGGCAGAGGUGUGUUUGAAAGUCAGCAGUAUUUUGACAGCGAUUAGAAUGUCCUCCGUCUGCUAGUCUUCUUGAUUCUUAAAUUCUGUGGAGCUCAAAUAGACAACAAAGCUUGUGGAACUAAUUAAGUGUUAGCAUAAAUAUCUAACCUUUAUCAUGUCGAGCCUCCUCAAUAUUACUUAUUUAGCAGGAUCAUGCACUUAUUAUUUUUAUAUUUUUAUUGUAAGAUGAAAACUUAUUUAUUUUAUUUUCAUGCCACCACAGUGAAUGUACUUAUGGGUUUUAUGCCAUGAGCAUACUCACAUGGGGCUUACUAUUUUUUAACAUUUAUUUUCUUUUCAAGAUAGCAUGAACCUGAUUAACUAAGCAAACUAUUGAAUGGAAAAGCAUAACUACCAAGUUUACCUCUUGGCAAGGCGUUCGGUAUUUUUAAGUCCUCCGAACGGGACUCUCCGUUUUCUUAGUCGUCCUGGGAUUCGCUAGGUGGCGUAGUCGGUGAUUCCGACGGCGCCUCUUCGUCGUGUAUAACUAUCUUCUCUCUCCACACCUUACUCGGUGCUACGGUCUCCUCAGGACAGUUCUGUUCAAGCCGUAUGUGUUCAGACCUUAUCACUUCUCCUUCGUAGUCUACCCAUCUGUCCUUGAUGAUCUGCCUCCUCUGGUUGCGGUUGCGUUGUCUUCUUCUUGUCCUGACCUGCUUAGAAUCCUCAACUAUAUAGUUAGAAUCAUUAAAGUAGUGGCGUACCUUCUCAGAGAGGAAGUGCAUGUGGACUUCUCCGGUUCCAAUAUAGAUGAUGGGUUUGAUAGUGUUGAGGAACGGUCUUCCAAGGAUGGUGGGUGGAUCGUACUCGUCUUCUCCCAUGUCAAUGACCUGAAAAUUUUCUGGAGCUGAAUGUAUGCUGGUUGUAGGAGCAUGGUUCCAUGCAGGAGCUGAUAAGUGACUGCGGCCAUUAUGUUGACAUCAGAUCCGGUGUCAUAGAGUGUCUUCUAAAAAGAGUAUCUGUUGAUUGUGCACUCGAUACUUGGAACACCAGGGUUGUCCUUCUUGAUCAGGAAUGGCGACUUGAGUCGACGAUCUUGACCUUUUUGAACUGCAGUGACCAUCUUAGCUGACUCAGUCCACAUUUGCUUGUUCCUGUUCCUCCUGUUGGUCCUCUUUCUUGGUUCAUGUCGGGGUUGCUCUGAAGUUUGUGUAGUCUUGUUCUUGAAGGAAAGUCUCCUUCUUCCCCUUGAUGUAGAGACUGAUCUUGGCAGCAUUAGCGUAGAUGACAGCUCUAGUGUUUAGGAAUGGCCUCCCUAAGAUGAUGGGUGCCCUCUCCUCAGUACCAGUCUCUAUCACCAUGAAGUCUGCUAGAGCAUACAUGGUACCAACUCGGACGCAGAGGUUCUUCAAUAUUUCCUUUGGGAAACUGAGUGUCCGAUCUGCAACCCUGGGCAUAAUGUUGACGCUGGAGCCAAAGUCGCAGAGUGCUUCUGGGAAGUCCACCAUGCCGAUGGAGAUCGGGAUGACGGGGCGUCCUAGAUCACCUCUCUGAGUAAUUAGGCCUCUGUUGAUUCCAACCUUGAUGUUGUUGAGGACGGUUGUAGUAAUAGUUGUUAUUGUUGUUGAUGUAGUUCACGUCCUCAAGCAUCUUAGGGCAGUGAUUGCCUGAGCGUCCAGUAUCUCCAGUGUGUUUGUGCUCGUAGAUCCUAGUUCUUCACUUGGUGGAAUCUGGGAGUUGUAAAACUCCUUCAUAUUAUGCUCGAAGUGUUCCUGCUCAUAGAGACAAGGUAGAGAUCAAGUGCAUGGGCCCUGUUGGUGGAAAACACCAACAGAACCAAAAGUGUAUUUGUUCUUCUCUAACCUUAAGCAUAUUGAGCAAGACAAAGUUGAUGGAUCAUGAGUGUAGCAUUUAAAACAUUUGUUAGAUCAGAUGGCUCAACCUAAUGGAAAGAUAAUCUAUCUAUAUUUAUGUUUUGUUUAUAUCUUCCAAAGAUUGAAUGUGCUACAUAUUAGCUUUUUUGAUUAGGAGUGUGAGAUCACGAAGGUAGUACUAAGAACAAAGAUUAAAGGACUAAACAUGCUGAAUCAGUUAGGUUAAUUUAGAGUUAUAAAUCAUACAUGUUUGUCUCUUUAUUUAUGUGAAUGCCAGAACCAAGACGAAGCUUAUAAAAGCGAUAGUCAAGUACCUUAAGAUGUUACCUUACUUGAAGAGUGAUGGUAUAGUAUCACCUUGUGGAAGCUUUCCUUUCUUAGCGGUCGUGCAUCGUGUUUGUGGCACCCUCCAUGGAUCAUCUCUUUAUGAUGAAUGAGCUAUGUCCUUCUUGUGCAAAAUGUUAAAUUUCAUGUGUCUCCUUUAUCUCCAAUGAGUUUGUAUCUCAGGACUACCCAGGUUGAUAUUGAAAGUUUUCCUGCAGGGGUUAGUCCCACAAAAUAUACCAAUAUCUACUCAAGCAGUUUUUAGUUCAGUAACCAAACUAGACUCCAUGUCUAAUCAGAUUAAGGAAGGCUGUUUAACCUAAGCACCAUGCUUAAUUUAAAAGCCAAUGGAAGUAUGUCAAGUACUUCCAAACCAACACUUACUAGGAUAAACAAAGGUAGCAUGAUGGCAUUUAUAGAGAUCUACUCAAGUGGAGAUGAAGUAGUGUGAUUAGUACUUAACAAAUUGAGCAUCUCUCAAAGGUAGGGACAACCAACGUAGCAACAUGGCAAAGGAUGUUUUUAUGUAAAGUACUCCCCCAAGCUUGAAUUUUGCAAAAUUCAAGUUUGGAUGAAUUUAAUUCAAUGUUGUGUGAUGGUUGGUUGGACAUACCUUGUGCUUGUCAUUCAUCCGAUCUUCUUGCUCCAAUCCUGGAAAGGUUAGUGACAAGAAUACCCGAACGAAUAUUUCUACAAUUAUCUUUAUAUGCUCAAUACACAAGGCAAUGUUGCAAAUAAUUAGAAGUUCAUGUUACGAUCUGAUCAGUGCGAAUUAAGCAAUGGUUUAGGACACUAAGCAAAUAAUUAGAAGUGCUAUUUUUAGGACACUAAGCUUGUCCUUGGGGAACCAUCGAUUAACUCAACGAGAUCUGCAAUAUUUAUUAUAGACAUAUGCAUCGACAACCACCCUUUUAAAGUUUUUAUAAAUAGAAAAGAAGAGGGGGUUGGAGAUCUCAAAUGUGGUAAGGAUGGAGAGACAAAUUGAUUGGAGAGAUGUUUUAUAUGAGCAAGGACUGGGUGAGGUAUUUAUGAAAUAACUUCCAUGCUCACUGUUGUUUCUCUCAUUCUCAAACUCCAAGGAUGAUUCUUCAUGAAUGUUUAAAAUUCCUCUAGGAUUGUCUCUCAAGUUUGUUUUAUCUAUCCAUUCAAUGGUGAUAGCACAUGGAUUUUUAAUGCCCUCUAGCCAUUGAUGUUGCUCUUCUCGAUCCUCCUUCUUAUGCAUGGGAUGUCUAGAGAGAUUCAUAGGAUUAUCGGGAGGUUCAAGAGAAAGAGCAUAGUAGAAUUUAUUAAGCUCAAGGAUGGGUUAGAUAGCCGAAUUAUGGGAUUGAGAUGUUUGGAAAUAGGCUAUUGAAACUUUCUUUCCUCGUCUGGGAGAUGAUUCCUUCUCUAUCUCUAAGAUUUUUCUAUGAAGACUAGUACAAGAAGGAUGUCCACGAAUGAAGACAUACCUUCCUUUACCAAUAGAUAAAGAAAGAAGGACUCUACCAAAGGUUAUAUGAUUAAGACCAUGGUGAAAAUAUCGAGAAAAAACAUGGUCUUGUAGGGCUAGGUCUAAACCAGAAUUUAUAGAAAGAUUAAAAGAUUCCCUAGGUGUAGCUAAAAGUGCAUUAUCUUCUUGAUUAAAAGAUAGGACCUCGGCUAUAGAAAAGGGUUGGUUUUGACCUAUUGCAAUCAACUCCGGACACAGAUCAUAAUUAGGGGCAGGACGUGUUGACUCCCAUGGUCUAUGGCUGGUCUCCGAAGGUGCAAAGAAUUUAAUAAUAGGUAUGGAAUUUGAGUUAUCCAUAAAGAUAAAAAUAAAAAGAUAAAAGAAUAAAAGUAUAAAAGUAUAAUACAAGAUAAUAGCAAGACUCAAAGUUAUCUCAGCAAACCGUCUUUCUCCCCGGCAACGGCGCCAGAAAUGCUUGUUGAUAUUUGGUAACGCAAUAAGGAAAUGAUCCGCAAGCGCACGGAUAUCGGUGAGCAUUUCACCCGGGAGAUUUUCCAGAGUAUCGUAUUUAUAUUUUUACCACUAGGAGAAAGGGUGCAUCUGACUAACCAAAUCUAUUGCUACUACCCCUUUAGGCUACAAAGAAUGUCUCUCGAUGUGAGUGAUGUAUAGAGAAGACUGCAACCGUAGUCUCGUUCUAACCUUGGUAAGGAUGAUCUACUGUUCUAUUGGGGAGGCUCACGGAAUCUAGACAACACAAAGGAUGUUCGACCCGCACCUAUAACCCUACCCGUCCUGCUAACGAGAUGUGAUCUACAAAGGUAACUCGGAAAUGUCACGUUCCUCGCUACUACCAAGGUCCAGCUAGUCAGGGGAUAUCUAUGAGUACCCUAGCCUAAACACCACGUUUACGCUAAUAAGUGAUUACUCUAAUACUCAACCGGAAGAGGAUUAAAGUAAACUCAUAAACCAAAGAACAAUAAAACAAGAACUUACUAGUAUUAGAAGUGGAAUUACUAAAGAAUCUUAGAAGCAAGCCUCGGGUUAGGAGACUUGAUCCCGUAGGUACAACUCGGAGUAGACACCGACAUGCCGGCCUUCCUCCGAUCCACACCUCCACUCUAUCUCUCUCAAUCUAGUAGAAACUAGAAGAUCUAUUUCUACCUUACAUUGGUUGCUAAGCCUAAAAAGAAAUAUUAUUUAGAGAAGAGGUUUUCCUUCGAGGGCACCCCUCAAUCUCUAUGAUAAUUUCUUGUCUCCUCCAGGGGCCAGAGGGGGUCUCCUUAUAUAGUCCUCCCCUUCUAUGCGUUUUUGGGUCGAUAGGCGAGGUGGUACUAUGUUAUUCUGGAUCCAAUAGGUCGGUGGAACGUCGUGUGCGAAGAGAGUCCGGAACGGAGUCUAGAGGGGGGCGGGCGCCCAAGUCCUCAGGGCGGGCGCCCUGGGCCUGGCCCCUUUCGGGCUCCGCUUCCUUCCCGUGGCUUCUGGAGUCUUCUAGAUGGUAGAAAAUUGCACGGUGGGUUGAUAUCUCUAUGUAAUCCCGACAUGUGGGCCUUUCUUCCUUAUUUCCUGAUAACCCCCUGCAGAAAUAGAGAAACACCAAAACUCGUAGAAUUCUGUCAGAUAAAACCCUAAGUCUAGAUGUUGAUUUCAUUUGGAUCUUUUUCUUUGUUUAUUUGAUAAUUAAAUUUGAUACUUAAGGACCGUCAACAUUAUCCAUCUCAGCUUCUAGGAUUCUAUCUAGGAUCACUCUAGCUUCAUCACUAGGGAUACGAAAGAAAGAACCUCUAGACAUUGUGUGUAGCAUUUGUUUGUGAUUUUUCUGAAAACCUUGAAAAAAGUGAAAUAAAAGAAUAGGCUCUUCAAGAUUAAGGUUUGGACCAGAUUCUAAAAGAUCAGAAAAACGUUUCCAGGAUUUUCCCAAAGUUUCAUUAUUUUUUGUUUAAAAGAUAGGACUUCGAGUCUAUGGUCGGCUAUACGGUCGAGGGAAUAGAAAUCUAGACAAAAGUUGGCUCGUAAAACUCCCCAUUCACCUCGUUGUUGACUUACCUUCUGACUGUACCAUUGUCGAGCUUCUCCCCUUAAAGAAAAAGGGAAAAGCUUCCAACGUAAAGUUUUAUCAGAAAUACCUUCAAUGCGAAGACAAUCACAUGUUUGCUCAAAAUCUCUAAUAUGAAGGUAAGGGUUUUCGUCUUCCUUUCCCGAAAAAGAUAGGUUUUGAAUCAUGGCAAUCAACCUAGAACUUAACUUAUACUGGGAUGUUUGGAUAGGCUGUGAUGAUUCCCACGGUAAGAGGUCAGUUACUGAAGGGAUUGCAGAUUCAUGGAUCGAUUUAGAAUUUUGGUUUUCCAUAAGGUAAGAGUAAAGAAAAUAAAUAAAUAAUAUAAAAGAUAAGAAAAUAUAAAAGUAUAGAUACAAGCUAGUAGUAAGACUCAAGGUUAUCUCAGCAAACCGUCUUUCUCCCCGGCAACGGCGCCAGAAAUGCUUGUUGAUAUUUGGGAACGCACUAAGGAAUUGAUCCGCAAGCGCACGGAUAUCGGUGAGCACUUCACCCGGAAGGUUAUCCAGAGUAUCGUAUUUAUUUUUUUACCACUAGGAGAAAGAGUGCAUCUGACUAACCCGGUCUAUUACUACUAACCCAUUAGGCAACAAAGAAUGUUUCUCGAUGUGAGUGAUAAAUAGAGAAGACUGCAACCGUAGUCUCCUUCUAACCUUGGUAAGGAUGAUCUACUGUUCUAUUGGGGAGGCUAACAGAAUCUAGACACCACAAAGGAUGUUAAACCCACACCUAUAAACCCUAUUCUUCCUGCUAACGAGAUAUGGUCUGCAAAGGUAACUCAGAAUUGUCACGUUCCUCACUACUACCAUGGUCUAGCUAGUCAGGGAAUAUCUAUGAGUACCCCAGCCUAAACACCACGUUUAUGCCAGCAAUGAUUACUCUAAACUCUACAUGAAGAGAUUAAAGUAAACUCAUAAACCAAAAGAACAAUAAAACAAGAACUUACUAGAAUUUAGAAGUCGAAAUACUGAAGAAUCCUAGGAGCAAGCCUCGGGUUAGGAGAACUUGAUCCCGCAGGUACAAGCUCGGAGUAGACACCGACAGGCCGGGCUUCCUCGUUGGUUGCUAAGCCUAAAAAAGAAAUUUUAUUUAGAGAAGAGGUUUUCCUUCGAGGGCACGCCUCAACUCUAUGAUAACUUCUUGUCUCCUCCAAGGGCCAGGGGGUCUCCUUAUAUAGUCCUCCUCCUCUAUGCAUUUUUGGGUCGGUAGGCGAUGUGGUACUACGUUAUCCUUGAUCCUUUAGGUCGGUGGAACAUCAUGUGCGAAGAGAGUCCUGAUUGGCAUCCAGAGGGGGGCGGGCGCCCAGGUCCUGAGGGCGGGCGCCCUGGGCCUGGCCCCUUUCGGCCUCUGCUUUCUUCCCGUGGCUUCUAGAGUCUUCAAGAUGGUAGAAAAUUGCGUAGUGUGUUGAUAUCUCUAUGUAAUCCUGACAUGUGGGCCUUUAGAAACAGAUAAACUUCAAGAUAAACAACAAAACUCGUGGAAUUCUAUCAGAUCAAACCCUAAUUCUCACCGUGUUCAUUCUUCAGGUGCGUCAUUUGAUUCAGGUGUGGACCUUGACGUCUGCACCUCUUAAUACGGUGUCACCCAUGUUCUUCGUUUGCCCAGUAGUUCGAAGUGCGGUGUUGGCAGUAUCUUGCUCAGUGUGUUUGUGCUUGUAGUGUACCUGCUCAUAGAGACAAGGCAGAGAUCAAGUGCAUUGGCCCUAUUGGUGGAAAACACCAACAGAACCAAAAGUGUAUUUGUUCUUCUCUAACCUUAAGCAUGGUGAGCAAGACAAAGUUGAUGAAUGAUAAGUUCAUGAGUGUAGCAUUUAAAACAUUUGCCAGAUCAGAUCGCUCAACCUAAUGGAAAGAUAAUCUAUCUAUAUAUAUGUCUUUUUCUUUAUAUCUUCCCAAAGAUUAAAUGUGCAACAUUUUAGCUCAUAUGACUAGGAGUGUGGGGAUCAAAGAUUAAGGGACUAAACAUGCUGAAUCAGUGGGGUUGGUUAAUUUGGAGUUAUAAAUCAUACAUGUUUGUCUCUUUUAUUCAUAUGAACGCCAGAACCAAUGAGAAGCUUAUAAAAGUGAUAGUCAAGUACCUUAAGGUGUUACCUUAAUUGAAGAGUGAUGGUACAGUCUCACCAUGUGGAAGCUUUCCUUUAUUAGCGGUCGUGCAUCGUGUUUGUAGCACCCUCCAUGGAUGAUCUCUUAUGAGCUACGUCUUCCUUGUGUAAAUUGUUAAACUUCAUGUGUCUCUCUCUUUGUCUCUGAUGUGAGUUUAUCUCAGGACUUCCCAGGUCGAUAUUGAAAGUUUUCCUACAGGGGUUAGUCCAACAAAAUAUCCAAUAUCUACUAUAGCAUACUAUCGGCUCAAAAAUCAACUAGACACCAUGUCUAAUUUGAUUUAGGAGGGCAUUUUAACCUAAGCACCAUGCUUAAUUUAAAAUCCCUUGGAAGUAAGGUCAUCAUUCCUAAACUAAGCACCAUGCUUAUUUAAGAGAUAAAUGAAACUACUCCAAACCUAGACAUAUACUAAAGCAAAUAAAGGUAGCAUGAGAGUAUUUAUAGAGAUCUACUCAAGUGGAGAUGAAGUAGUGUGAUUAGUAUUUAACAAAUGGAGCAUGUCUCAAAGGUAGGGACAACCAACAUAGCAACAUGGCAAAGGAUGUUUUUAUGUAAAGUACUCCCCCAAGCUUGAAUUUUGCAAAAUUCAAGUUUGGAUGAAUUUCAAUGUUGUAUGAUGAUUGGUUGGACAUACCUUGAGCUUGUCAUUCAUCCAAUCUUCUUGCUCCAAUCCUGGAAAGGUUAGUGACAAGAAUACCCGAAGGAAUAUUUUUACAAUUAUCCUUAUAUGCUCAAUACGCAAGGUAAUGUUGCAAAUAAUUAAAAGCUCAUGUUAUGAUCUGAUCUGUGCUUAUUUUAGGACAUCAAGCUUGUCCUUGGGAAACCAUCAAUUUAUGUCGGCGAAGUGGUUUCCCUUCCAACGCUAACCUAUAUCAAGAUCAAGUCAACGAGAUCUACAAUAUUUAUUAUAGACAUAUGCAUCGAUAACCGCCCUUUUAAAGUUUUUAUAAAUAGAAAGGAAGAGGGGGUUGGAGAUUUCAAAUGUGGUGAUGUUGGAGAGACCAAUAGAUUGGGAAGAUGUUGCAUAUGAGCAUGGAGCAAACGAAGUGGCUAUGAAAUAAAUUCCAUGCUCAUUAAUGUUAUCUUCGUCUCCAAUAUAAAUGUUCGGAGUUUCUCCUGGAUUGGUCUCACCUAUGUCCUCUUCUGUAGUUGGAUGAAUAUCAUCUUCAAAGGGAGUCAAGAACUCACCAUUUGAAAUUGAGCCAAAGUCAGAAUCCAUUAAAGCUUCUUCCUUAUCCAUCCAUUCUAUGCAUUCUAGUCAUUUGAAACUUGUGAUCAGGAAAGGGGAGGUGUUAGAAUCUUCUAUAUGGCUUAGCUCUCCUUCUAUGGCAUUACUUGACAUGCCAUCCUUAUGGUCUUCAUGACUCCUAUGGUUUGAUCGUCUUGAUGGAUUGCUAGGAUCAUCAUGAGACUUAAAAGGAGAGGGAUAAGAGGGGUCUCUAAGGUCAAGGAUGGAUUUAGAAUUUGUGAACAUGGAAGGGGAGCAGAUAGAAUCUUCUAUAUGGUUUAGCUCUCCUUCACUUGAUAUGUCAUCCUCGACUUCUUCAUAACAGGAACGAGGACAUUCUCCAAGAGAACCAUUAUUGCAAGGAUUUGAAUUAUGCCUGCUUGAAGGUCUCUUAUGGAACCAGAAGUCUAAACCAUCAGUAUCUGAAAUAUUUAAGGUUGGAAUUCCUUCCUCCCUUGGAGAAUUUUGGGGUAUUGAUGGUUUAGAAUCGAUAGCUAAAGUUUGGGAUUGAAGUGGUUGUGAUCUGGCUAUCGAAACUUCUUUUUCUUGUCUAGGAACUGGUUCUUUCUCUUUCUCAGAGAUAUAAAAGCUAGGAGACUUUCCGCUCAUUAAAUCAAUCAAAUUCCAAGCUUCACUAGUGGAUAGGUGGUGGAAAGAUCCUCCAGAGGCUGUAUUCAAUGUUUGCUUAUUUUUCCUACUAAGGCCCUCAAAAAAGUGAAUUAGAAGAACUUCUUCUGGAAUAGAAAGCUUUGGGCCUGUGAGAGUAAGGUUAAUAAAGCGGUCCCAUGAUUUGCCAAGAGAUUCUUCUUCCAGUUGUCUAAAAGAAAUAAUCUCACACCGAAGUUCCGCCACUUUGGAGAUUGGAAAAUAUUUUAAAAGAAAACUAUUAUGUAACUCCUUCCAAUCUCCAUGAACACUCCCUACCUCGAGUUUGUACCAAUGUCUAGCUUUUCCUGUUAAAGAGAACGGAAAGAGCUUCCAUUUAAGGGUCUGAUCGGACAUGCCUUCAAUGCGAAGGAGGUCACAGACUCGAUAAAACUCUUUUAGGUGUGUGUAUGGUUUUCCUCACCUUCUCCUGAGAAAGGUUAUUUUUGAACAAAUUCUAUAUAUUCGGGGUCUAUCUCAAAACUAGAUGCUAUGCUAGGCUUUGAAGAUUUUGGUGGUUCGAGAUGUGUGCACGUAGGUCUAUGAAAUUCAUAGAUAGACAUGUUUGAAUUCAUGAUAGACCAGAGAUCAAGGAUUAGAUAAGAAGAAAGAAUAGCAGAGAUAAGGCAAAAGAUAACAGGAAAACCACGUGAUAAGAAUACACCACAAAGGAUGCUUAUCCAUAGGCCGAUAAACCCUACCCGUCCUGCUAACGAGAGGUGGACUACAGGGGACCAACGUAACUGUCACCUACGCGGCCUACCACACGAUCCAGCUAGACAGGGGAUAUCCACAAGUAAUCUAGGUCUAAGCACCACGCUUACACCUAUACUACAACUCUAACCUAUAGGGUCCUAUAGAUUAGAAGUACUCAAAAGAGUUGUGAACCAGAACAUACAUGAUUAGUAAUUGCAUACUGAAUUAGAAGUAGAUUACUAGAGUCAUCCCAUGAGCAAGCUUAAUUAGAGCUUGAUCAUGAUGAAGUACAACCGGAGGAAGAACCGACAGGCCGGCCUCUCCUCUAAUCCUCCUUCGCUCUCCAUCUUGCUACUAUCUAGAUCUACUCUAGUUUAGAGAUGAGAGGAGAGCUCUCAUCUCCAAAGACUAGCUUUUGCUCUGUCUAUGAAUAAUGAAUAAUGAUCAAGGGGUGCCUCCUCCAGGGAACAGGGGGUCUGGUUAUAUAGUCCCCUCAAGUGAAUCUAGGCCGUCGGAUCAAACCGACAUUGAUUGAAAGGUUAUCCUUGAUCCUUUAGGUCAGUGGAGAUUGAUCCCGAAAGAGAGUCCUGUUUGGACUCCAUGAGGGGGCGGGCGCCUAGGUCAACUGGGCGGGCGCCCAGGGCCUGGCUCUGUUCGGCCUCCGCUUCCUUCCUGUGGCUUCUGGAGUCUUCUAGAUGUAAGAUAAUUGCGCGGCAUGUUGAUAUCUCUAUGUAAUCCCGACGUGUGGGCCUUUCUUCCUUAUUUCCUGAUAACCCCUGCAGAAAUAGACAAACACCAAAACUUGUGGAAUUCUGUCAGAUAAAACCCUAAGUUUAGAUGUUGGUUGUAUUUGGAUCCUUUUCUUUGUUUAUUUGCUGAUUAUAUUUGGUACUUAAGGACCGUCAACAACUCCCCCAAGCUUACCUCUUGCUCGUCCCUGAGCAAGGAUGGACUCAAGAGUUUCUGCAGUGGUUUUUUGCCUUAAAGGUACUCAUGCGUUCAAACAAGAUCUCAUCACUAGGUUAAGGUAAACUGUUAAGAUUUAAACUUACUCAUAUUACCUUUCACCAUGGGGCUUGCAACCGUCACUUGUGUCUUGAGCAGUUAAAAGAUAGAACGGUCAAGUCAAGCACCAUGUCUCUUGUUCUUUGAUCAACUAUAGCUCUGGAGUUUUUUUUGCAGAUUUUCAAAUAAAACUCAGAGAUUCCUUGUAUGACUCUCUCAAUUCUCUCUUUUGUGGUAUUUCUGGAUCCUUACCAAGGCAGUGAUGAUAUAUGCCUUCUCUCAAAGCAUGUGGUAUUUUUGGUAUGAGGCAUAGUGAUAUUGCCUUCUCUCUCACCCUACUCUAACAAGAUUUGAUAUCUGGAGCUCAUAGGUGGGAGACAGCUAAUACAUACUUACAAGACAUUUAUUGCAUAGUCAAACCAUGGAUCCAGAGAAACAAGUCAAUAAGUCAAAUCAAGAUGUGCAUGUGUGGCGAAUGAAUGGUGUAUGGUGAUAAUGGUGAUAAUGAUGAAAACAAUGGUGAAAGUCUAAUUCUACGUUUGCUCUUUUGAGGGGAUACAUACCUUUCUUGCACUUUGAAGCUUUUUGAGGGGAAUGAGAUGCUCUAUAUUUUCUUCUUCUUUUCUCUCAGGUGGGUAUCUUGUACCCCUAAUUCUACUAUCGCACACUUGUCCAUUUUUACCUCUCGUCUCACUUUUUCUUUUCUUUCGAGGUUCCGGGCACUUGCCCCUUUUUAUUUUCUCAUAUUUUUCUCUUCUCUCUCUUUUUUUAGAGCACUCACCCUCCUAGAAUAAUGUAGCAAGUGGUAGUAACCAAAAUAUCAACAACAUUUAUUUCACGGGGAAUAACAGGGAUAGGAUAAUGUUUUUGGCUAUUCUCUCCUGAAUAGGAGUAGAAUAAUUUUGGGUGAAUCUGGAGAUGGAAAUGAAUGGAUGUAUGUGGAUGCGUACUUCCGGAGUAGAAGCAGCAUGUAUGAGUGAACGUGCAAGUGGAUCUUGAUUUUAACCGCAUAACAAGCUCCUAAGCGUCUACAUAGCUUGACCACACUUAAUGCUCAUAAGUAGUAAAAAGUAAAUGUAUGGUUCAUAGUCUAAUAAGCAUGGCUGUGGUAGGAUUUUAAACUCUCAUCAUACAAGAACUCAUCAUGCAACAUUUUAAAUAUUUUCAAAGAUAAAAUUCUCCAGAAUUCUAGCAUCUCUAGGAACAGAUAAACAGCAGCUCAACCUUCCCAUAUCAUAUUCGUUAACGAUUUAGACUUUAGAUCAAGUACUCUUCCCACAAGUUCAGGUUU
RNAcentral lists this long non-coding RNA (14586 nucleotides) under Sorghum bicolor (sorghum). RNAcentral describes it as "long non-coding RNA (SBIC_LNC013826)". The record is from RNAcentral. Lineage: Eukaryota; Viridiplantae; Streptophyta; Magnoliopsida; Poales; Poaceae.